This 393-nucleotide ribosomal RNA is filed under the name uncultured bacterium. RNAcentral's name for it is "partial 16S ribosomal RNA". It matches the Rfam family "Bacterial small subunit ribosomal RNA", at positions 523 to 918 of the family's 1533-position model. The record is from RNAcentral.
AUACGGAGGAUCCGAGCGUUAUCCGGAUUUAUUGGGUUUAAAGGGAGCGUAGGCGGACGCUUAAGUCAGUUGUGAAAGUUUGCGGCUCAACCGUAAAAUUGCAGUUGAUACUGGUUUCCUUGAGUACGGUACAGGUGGGCGGAAUUCGUGGUGUAGCGGUGAAAUGCUUAGAUAUCACGAAGAACUCCGAUCGCGAAGGCAGCUCACCGGGCCGGAACUGACACUGAUGCUCGAAAGUGCGGGUAUCAAACAGGAUUAGAUACCCUGGUAGUCCGCACAGUAAACGAUGAAUACUCGCUGUUUGCGAUACACGGUAAGCGGCCAAGCGAAAGCAUUAAGUAGUCCACCUGGGGAGUACGCCGGCAACGGUGAAACUCAAAGGAAUUGACGGGG